Molecule: ribosomal RNA, 253 nt
Filed under: uncultured bacterium
Lineage: Bacteria
Description: partial 16S ribosomal RNA
Rfam family: Bacterial small subunit ribosomal RNA
Source: RNAcentral
UACGUAGGUGGCAAGCGUUAUCCGGAUUUACUGGGUGUAAAGGGCGCGUAGGCGGGAUGGCAAGUCAGAUGUGAAAUCCAGGGGCUCAACCCCUGAACUGCAUUUGAAACUGUCGUUCUUGAGUACUGGAGAGGUUGACGGAAUUCCUAGUGUAGCGGUGAAAUGCGUAGAUAUUAGGAGGAACACCAGUGGCGAAGGCGGUCAACUGGACAGCAACUGACGCUGAGGCGCGAAAGCGUGGGGAGCAAACAGG